Molecule: long non-coding RNA, 1829 nt
Organism: Equus caballus (horse)
Lineage: Eukaryota; Metazoa; Chordata; Mammalia; Perissodactyla; Equidae
Source: Ensembl
ACAUUGGAGGUUAGGGCUUCAACAUAUGAAUUCUGGAGGGACACAAACAUUCAGUCCAUAAUUAUCAGUAAAAGGAAACAAAACAAACAAAACCAAAAGCAUAAUAAAUUUUAAAAAACAGAAAUUCAACUAUAGAAGUAUCAAAAUGAUUUAUUUGGUGGCAUACUAUCUAGUAGUCAAAAUGAAUGAAAUGAAUCUAUAUACGUAUCAGCAAGAAUAGAUCUUGAAAACCAAAUGUUGAAUGAAAAAAGCAAAAUGCUGGAUAAUAAGUGGAAUAUGACUCCAUUUGUAUAAAUGUUAAACACAGGAAACAAUAGCCUUUGUUUUCUGUAUGGAUAUUUAGUAAAUAUGGAUAUUGAGUAAAUGCAUAAAAAACACAGACUCAUGGACCAGAAGAACAGGCAGGAAUUUCAGGAGAGUGGAGGAAAGAAGGAAGGAGGCUGAGGAGGAGUGCAGUAGUGUGUUGCUUAAAGACAGGGAUACGUUCUGAGAAAUGUGUUACGCGAUUUUGUCAUUGUGCGAACAUCAUAGAGUGUACUUACACAAACCUAGAUGGUAUAGCCUGCUACACACCUAGGCUAUAUGUACUCAUCUUAUGGGACCACCAUCAUAUAUGCAGUCCGUCAUUGACUGAAAUGUCCUUAUCUGCUGCAUGACUGUACAAAGAAACUUCCAUUAUAUCUGAAAAGAUUUUUAACAUCUUCUAUAUGGCAGGCCUAGUGUUAGGUGUUGAAGAUGAUAGAAUGAGCAGAAACAGAGGAGGUUCCUGUCCUCAUACAACUAGUGAUCUGAAGGAAGGCUAGAUAUUUACCAAAUAAUCAUUCACAAAAACGUAAAUUAUAACUCUGAUAAGUUCAAGAGUGGUGGCAGGGUCGUGCAGGAGUUGGGAGAAAGGUAACGCUCUAAAUGGAGAGACCAGCAUGUGCAGAAGCCUGGCGGCGGGAGUGGGCAUGUACAAAGUGGUAGGGCUGCAGAUGGGGAAAGGAUGAGAGAGCUAGGGCUGGAGAAGGAGACAGGGUCUUGUAGGCCACAUGGAGAGUUCGGUCUUUAUCUUUCAAGGAGCAGAAAGCCAUUGAAAGGUUUGAUAUGGUAGGGGGAGAUUCAUCAGAGGUGUAAUUUUAAAAGAUCACUCUUGAUACAGUGUAGGGACAGAAUUGGGGGCGGGGGGCAAGAAGAGAUAUGUGGGAGUUAUUACAGCAGUCUGGGCAAGCCUGGGCCUGGGAAGGUGAGGGAGGAAGUUGAGGAGAAGGAGAUAAAAUUUAUUUGACAGAGUCAAGAGAUUUUUAGCAUUAUAUUCAGAAGGACAGGUCAUAGAUUGGCCAUGAGAAGUGAGGGAGAAAGAAGUGGUAAAGAUGAGUCUCUUACACAGCUGUACAGACAGUUUCCAUUUCAGAGAGAAGAGCCCUGGGAGAAGACCAGCUUGGGAGGAGAAGAUUAUGAGUUUGGUUUUGGGCAAGUUGAAUUUAAAGUGCCUUUGAGACAUGAUCCCAUUCUGUAGUUCAAAUUCCGCACUGCACAUGGAGCUGGAACUUAUGAAAUGAUGGCCAAGUCCUGUAUGUAACCACUGGAACCAUCUAGAGCCAUUCUUGAGAACGUGCUGAGCGGUGUGGUCUAGUGGAGCAAAAAAAGCCCUGAGCGUGCAGAAGUGGAUGGGACAAUAUUGAGAAUGCAGCUGGGCCACUGCUGGUUGAAGUGGCCUUGGGGAAAGGGACAGGACGGCAUCAGAAAUUGAUGACUCUCCCCUCCUUUUCUAUCCCUCCCACCUAUACACACAUUCCAUCCAAAUGAUGACUCACUUGGUCCAACCCUAAGAAGCAAAGUACUCAGAG